UACAGAGGUCCCAAGCGUUGUUCGGAAUUAUUGGGCGUAAAGAGCUCGUAGGCGGUCUGUCGCGUCGAUCGUGAAAACUUGGGGCUUAACCCUGAGCUUGCGGUCGAUACGGGCAUGACUGGAGUUCGGCAGGGGAGACUGGAAUUCCUGGUGUAGCGGUGAAAUGCGCAGAUAUCAGGAGGAACACCGGUGGCGAAGGCGGGUCUCUGGGCCGAUACUGACGCUGAGGAGCGAAAGCGUGGGGAGCGAACAGG
RNAcentral lists this ribosomal RNA (254 nucleotides) under uncultured bacterium. Its description in RNAcentral is "partial 16S ribosomal RNA". It matches the Rfam family "Bacterial small subunit ribosomal RNA", at positions 524 to 776 of the family's 1533-position model. The record is from RNAcentral.